GGAUGAAAUUUUUGUAAGGUGGGAGGGCUGUAACACUCCUAGUGUUAGCUUGCAUGUUAACCAUGAGCAUUGCAUCAACAUAAGCAUCAUCAUGAUCACUCAUGAGCAUCAUACCAUGAUCACAUGCCAUUUGCUACAUGUACUUUGUGAUUAAGUUGCUAUAUGACUUGCUAUGGUUGAUUGUAAUAGGUGACUAAGGCAUACAAGUGUACAUUGUCUUCCAAAAUACUUUAAUUAUGUUU
This 242-nucleotide long non-coding RNA is filed under the name Sorghum bicolor (sorghum). Its description in RNAcentral is "long non-coding RNA (SBIC_LNC017640)". Lineage: Eukaryota; Viridiplantae; Streptophyta; Magnoliopsida; Poales; Poaceae. The record is from RNAcentral.